This 460-nucleotide ribosomal RNA is filed under the name uncultured bacterium. RNAcentral describes it as "partial 16S ribosomal RNA". It matches the Rfam family "Bacterial small subunit ribosomal RNA", at positions 338 to 795 of the family's 1533-position model. The record is from RNAcentral.
CCUACGGGGGACAGCAGUGAGGAAUAUUGGUCAAUGGACGCAAGUCUGAACCAGCCAUGCCGCGUGCAGGAAGACGGCUCUAUGAGUUGUAAACUGCUUUUGUACGAGGGUAAACGCAGAUACGCGUAUCUGUCUGAAAGUAUCGUACGAAUAAGGAUCGGCUAACUCCGUGCCAGCAGCCGCGGUAAUACGGAGGAUUCAAGCGUUAUCCGGAUUUAUUGGGUUUAAAGGGUGCGUAGGCGGUCGGAUAAGUUAGAGGUGAAAUCCCGAGGCUCAACUUCGGAAUUGCCUCUGAUACUGUUCGGCUAGAGAGUAGUUGCGGUAGGCGGAAUGUAUGGUGUAGCGGUGAAAUGCUUAGAGAUCAUACAGAACACCGAUUGCGAAGGCAGCUUACCAAGCUACUUCUGACGUUGAGGCUCGAAAGCGUGGGGAGCGAACAGGAUUAGAUACCCUUGUAGUC